UAGGGUCCAGUCUAGAGGUAGCAGAGACAUAUUAUGAACUAGACCCAUCUUCCUCAAGCUGCCACAGAAUGCAAGUGGUAAAGUUCUGAUAUUUAUGUACACUAUUUACACUAUUUAUAGGAGUGGACACAUGCCAAAACAUGAUCAUCAUAAAAUGACCAAGAUAACCAACAAAAAUAAAUCAGUUUACCUUCCUAAUGUCACAGUCCUGAUGAGAUGAUUAGCAGCAGCUGCAGGACCUGCAGCUGCUGCUGCUAAUCACUCAUCCUCUCACUAUAAAAACUGGUGAUGCAUGCAGUGCAGCACUGGAUCAUUGUCCUCCCCUUCAGUCUCCAUGUAGUGAGACUCAGCCGACAGAGCAGCGUGCGUCUUUCCCCCAGCCGUCCGCCAGAUAGUGGAUGUGGAUGUGGAUGUGGACCCGGACCCUUGCUGUCCCUGCCCCGAUCGGCCGGCCCGCUCCUCGAAGGACCCGGCGUCGUCUCUAGGUUUUCACAUUUCCAUCCUGGAGGAUCCUGCACCGGGACCAGGCCACAUGUCUGAUAAAAACACAAUGGGCACCAAGCGUGGCAUGUUCACCAAAGAGGCCAUUGAGUAGCGUUUGUUGUGUUACACUUCUGUUGUACUGAAUUCGGUAGAGAUGCAGUAUAUUUAAAGCAGGUGUCUACUAUCCAAUGAACACAACAUUGCUCAUUUUGGUCCCACAGCUGUGGAAAUGUCACUAAUUGUAAUUGGAGAUAUUUUUCAGAAGGAAUUUUUUUUUAAAAAAGCAAGAAACAAAAGCUAAGGCUUAUGACGGUAAGGGUGUGGUAAUAUGGAAAUAUGUUAAAAAGCUCUAUUUUCUAGAUUACCAGUGCUGCCCUUUCUAACAGUGACAAUGCCAGGAAAGAUUUUAAAAUGUAAAUGAAGGUUGUAAGAAGCUGCUUGAAAAGCAAAAUGUGACGUUAUUUUUUGGGAGGACACUUCAGGCCUAUUUAUGGUUAACAAUGAGCACCCCAACUACAAUUAUUAAUAGAAAUUUUGCAUGAAAAAUUACCCAGUGCAGCACUUUACAUUUAUAGUUCUGUAUUUCCUCACCAUCUUCCCUGCACUUUAAACCUCAUUCAUUUGGGACAAGUACACACAGUGACCUCUCGUAAUUUGUGAUAAUUGCAGUCAUCUGUGAUCUAAAUCUCAUGAAAGACUGCCAUGUGUGUAAUUUGCAGAGUAAAAACGUCACCACACAUUACCUCCCAUAAUUUUUGACAAACAAAGAUAUGUUCAGUGAUGAUAUUAUUCUCAUGUGAAUCAGUAUUUUAAGAAUGAUGCUUAAACGACUGCAUCCAAUUGUAACAUUGAAUAGAGAAGGUGCUCAGAGUGGGCUGUGAAUGUUUCAGAGAAAAACCCAUAAUACUAUCAUUAAAUUACCUGAUC
This is a long non-coding RNA of Amphiprion ocellaris (clown anemonefish), 1410 nucleotides long. The record is from Ensembl. NCBI's taxonomy places the organism in Eukaryota, Metazoa, Chordata, Actinopteri, Pomacentridae.